This is a non-coding RNA of Paramuricea clavata, 657 nucleotides long. The record is from the annotation of a GenBank genome assembly. Lineage: Eukaryota; Metazoa; Cnidaria; Anthozoa; Malacalcyonacea; Plexauridae.
GUUAAGUUAAGUAAGUUAAGUUAAGUUGUUAAGUCCGUCAACCUUGUUUUGAAGGCCUGUUCGCAGGCUAGAACAGCUUUAAAACAAGAUGGCGUCUUUCGAAAAGCUUUCAAGAGUAGUAAUCAUUAGUAAUCGUGGUAUUAAACUAUUAAUAGACUUUAUCCUGACUUUAUUUUGAUAAAAUCUUCUUCUAUAGCAGUCUUUUUGAUAUAACUCUUACAGUCAAACCGGAUGUUCUGUUCCCAUGAGUAUUGCAACAUUGCAAUCAAUCUUGCAAUGUUGAUUGCAAAUUGCUCCGAGCAAAUUACACGCAAGUAUUCAACUGUCAUUUUUUCAAGCUCCUAUCACUCCCGUGUUGGGGAAAGGGAAUAACAAAUCAAAAGGACUAAUAUUGUGCCUACCACUUGACAAAUUAAAGGUAAACUGGAAUGUAUAGAGGAUAUUUAUACAUGGUUGUGCGGAAAUAUGUAAUUUAUUUCGAGUGUUGAAGAGAACUAUUGCUAACGAGUGAGCGUAGCAAAUUGCAAGUUGUUCCAUUAUGUGAUUUAAUAAUCUAAAUUUUUGAGUAAGGUCAUGGACAUAUUGUAAUUAUUAUGAGUAUUUACUAUUUUAUCUUCGUAUCAAACCAAAUAUAUAGCAUUGCGAGCUUUAAUUGGU